GAGGAUGAGAUGGUUGCCUAGUCUAUUCUACUGUUGCUAUUGCUCCUGCUUUGCCACCCUGGGACUUGUGGUCCCUGUCAGUUGUCAUUUACAGCAUUGCUACAGAUAAGGACAUAUCAAAAUUGAACUCCCCAAGGUGAAUACCAUUGUAUUCUUAUUUAUAAUGUUUUUCUAUCUAUUGCAGUCCUUCCGCUUUUAAUAAAUCUGUGAAUGAUUGUGAAUCA
Molecule: long non-coding RNA, 224 nt
Filed under: Phasianus colchicus (ring-necked pheasant)
Lineage: Eukaryota; Metazoa; Chordata; Aves; Galliformes; Phasianidae
Description: lncRNA (ENSPCLG00000003037.1)
Source: RNAcentral